Molecule: ribosomal RNA, 497 nt
Filed under: uncultured bacterium
Lineage: Bacteria
Description: partial 16S ribosomal RNA
Rfam family: Bacterial small subunit ribosomal RNA
Source: RNAcentral
GAUGAACGCUGGCGGCGUGUCUAAUACAUGCAAGUCGAGCGAACGGACGAGAAGCUUGCUUUUCUGAUGUUAGCGGCGGACGGGUGAGUAACACGUGGAUAACCUACCUAUAAGACUGGGAUAACUUCGGGAAACCGGAGCUAAUACCGGAUAAUAUUUUGAACCGCAUGGUUCAAAAGUGAAAGACGGUCUUGCUGUCACUUAUAGAUGGAUCCGCGCUGCAUUAGCUAGUUGGUAAGGUAACGGCUUACCAAGGCAACGAUGCAUAGCCGACCUGAGAGGGUGACCGGCCACACUGGAACUGAGACACGGUCCAGACUCCUACGGGAGGCAGCAGUAGGGAAUCUUCCGCAAUGGGCGAAAGCCUGACGGAGCAACGCCGCGUGAGUGAUGAAGGUCUUCGGAUCGUAAAACUCUGUUAUUAGGGAAGAACAUAUGUGUAAGUAACUGUGCACAUCUUGACGGUACCUAAUCAGAAAGCCACGGCUAACUACGUG